CAAAGGGUCGCCAACCCGCGAGGGGGAGCCAAUCCCAUAAAGCCAUUCGUAGUCCGGAUCGCAGUCUGCAACUCGACUGCGUGAAGUCGGAAUCGCUAGUAAUCGUGGAUCAGAAUGUCACGGUGAAUACGUUCCCGGGUCUU
This 143-nucleotide ribosomal RNA is filed under the name uncultured Polaromonas sp. RNAcentral describes it as "partial 16S ribosomal RNA". It matches the Rfam family "Bacterial small subunit ribosomal RNA", at positions 1240 to 1382 of the family's 1533-position model. The record is from RNAcentral. Lineage: Bacteria; Pseudomonadati; Pseudomonadota; Betaproteobacteria; Burkholderiales; Comamonadaceae.